Bacillus gaemokensis is the source of this 233-nucleotide non-coding RNA. The record is from Rfam. NCBI's taxonomy places the organism in Bacteria, Bacillati, Bacillota, Bacilli, Caryophanales, Bacillaceae.
CGAAAAGUAAUGAUAAGGACAUGAGAUGAUUUUUACGGUUUACAGAGAGGGAGGCCAUAGGCUGUGAGCUUCCUAACACGGGAAAUCAUUUUACCACCUUUGAACUUCAAUAGUGAAAGAGUAAUCUAGUAAUUAUUGACGGACUCAGCCGUUAUCUGAUCUUGAGCAGUCCAGGUGAAUAUAUAUUUGGAUUGAAACAAGGGUGGAACCACGAAAACACAUUCGUCCCUUUA